UACAGAGGGUGCAAGCGUUAAUCGGAGUUACUGGGCGUAAAGGGCGCGUAGGCGGUAGAUUGAGUGAGAUGUGAAAUCCCUGGGCUUAACCUAGGAACUGCAUCUCAUACUGAUUUGCUAGAGUAUUGUAGAGGGUAGUGGAAUUUCCGGUGUAGCGGUGAAAUGCGUAGAGAUCGGAAGGAACACCAGUGGCGAAGGCGGCUACCUGGACAAAUACUGACGCUGAGGCGCGAGAGCGUGGGGAGCAAACAGG
This 253-nucleotide ribosomal RNA is filed under the name uncultured bacterium. RNAcentral describes it as "partial 16S ribosomal RNA". It matches the Rfam family "Bacterial small subunit ribosomal RNA", at positions 524 to 776 of the family's 1533-position model. The record is from RNAcentral.